CAAUAGCGUAUAUUAAAGUUGUUGCAGUUAAAAAGCUCGUAGUUGGAUUUCUGGCAGUGUGACUCCGGCCGGCGUGAUGCCGGCUCGAGCGCGCUACCAUCCUUCUGUCAACCUUCGCGGGUUUUACCGCCCGCCCUGGGGCUCAGAUAUUUUACCUUGAGAAAAUUAGAGUGUUUCAGGCAGGCUAUCGCCGGAAUACAUUAGCAUGGAAUAAUGGAAAAGGACUUCAACCUCUUCUGUUGGUCUGAGAGGCUGUAGUAAUGAUUAAUAGGGAUAGUUGGGGGCGAUUCGUAUUUAACUGUCAGAGGUGAAAUUACUUGGAUUUGUUAAAGACGGACUACUGCGAAAGACAUUUGUCCAAGGAUGUUUUCUAUUGAUCAAGAACGAAAGUUAGGGGAGUC
This 401-nucleotide ribosomal RNA is filed under the name uncultured eukaryote. RNAcentral describes it as "bacterial SSU rRNA". It matches the Rfam family "Eukaryotic small subunit ribosomal RNA", at positions 592 to 1000 of the family's 1831-position model. The record is from RNAcentral.